RNAcentral lists this transfer RNA (81 nucleotides) under Argentina anserina (silverweed cinquefoil). RNAcentral describes it as "Potentilla anserina tRNA-Ile". It matches the Rfam family "tRNA". Rfam says of the family: Transfer RNA (tRNA) molecules are approximately 80 nucleotides in length. Their secondary structure includes four short double-helical elements and three loops (D, anti-codon, and T loops). RNAcentral also lists the same sequence under 5 other names. Lineage: Eukaryota; Viridiplantae; Streptophyta; Magnoliopsida; Rosales; Rosaceae. The record is from RNAcentral.
GCAUCCAUGGCUGAAUGGUUAAAGCGCCCAACCUAUACCAACCGGGGCGAAAAUUCGUAGGUUCGAUUCCUGCUGGAUGCA